Molecule: ribosomal RNA, 484 nt
Filed under: uncultured bacterium
Lineage: Bacteria
Description: partial 16S ribosomal RNA
Rfam family: Bacterial small subunit ribosomal RNA
Source: RNAcentral
AUUGAACGCUGGCGGCAUGCUUUACACAUGCAAGUCGAACGGCAGCGCGGGCUUCGGCCUGGCGGCUAGUGGCGAACGGGUGAGUAAUGCAUCGGAACGUUCCCAGUAGUGGGGGAUAGCCCGGCGAAAGCCGGAUUAAUACCUCAUACGACCUGCGGGUGAAAGCGGGGGACCGAAAGGCCUCGCGCUAUUGGAGCGGCCGAUGUCGGAUUAGCUAGGUGGUUGGGUAAAGGCUUACCAAGGCGACGAUCCGUAGCUGGUCUGAGAGGACGACCAGCCACACUGGGAAUGAGACACGGCCCAGACGCCUACGGGAGGCAGCAGUGGGGAAUGUUGGACAAUGGGGGCAACACUGAGCCAGCCAUGCCGCGUGCGGGAAGAAGGCCUUCGGGUUGUAAAACGCUUUUGUUCGGGAAGAAAUCCUCUGGGCUAAUACCCCGGGGGGAUGACGGUACCGGAAGAAUAAGCACCGGCUAACUACGUA